UAUUGACUAAAACGUGUAAAAUGAUAUGCAUAUAUAGUUGUUCGCGCAAAACGUGAAGUUAAAAUAGAUUGAGUUGUCAUGGAAUGUAAAAAUCUAGAUUGUGAAUGUAAGGAGAAUAUAAAAGAAAACAUCUUUUGAUUAUGCGAAAUGAUACUUUGUAAAAGAAUGGAGAUGCUAUUAUGGUUUUAAAAGAAUUUACAUAGUUGCGAAUUUGUCGGUUCUUAUGAAGUUUCCUUGCCCACGUGCUUUGAAUUUAAUUGGCGUAUCGCGCGAGAUUCUUGAGGAAAAGUUGAUCCUUAGAAAAAGGAAUUUGGUAUACGAGCCUAGUGAUUGUUGAAAAAUGUUUUAUUGGUUUUGGAAAGGAGUUUUAGUAAAUGCUUAAAUAAUACUGGUAAUAUUUUAUAGAUGUGUGCGAAAAAGUUGAUUUGAUUCUCAAUUAAAAAUAGAAAAUCUCUAGUUUAAUGAUAUGUGAUGAGCUUGUUUUAAUAGUUAUGUUGAAUACAAAAUUCGUGGGCAAUGGAUUUGUUAGACCGACUAAGUUGAGGGGUAGUACUUCGUGAAAUUUUGAAUGUUGAGAAACAAGUGUCUACGGAAAAGUAAAAGAAAAUUUCACGUGUGUAAGCUAUAUGAAAAUAUAGAUUGUAGGAUAAGUAGUUCAUUCAUAUAAACAAUGCAUUUUGAAAUAAUUAGAGAUUUGACUAACGAUAAUCGAUUUAGAUGUAUAAAUGAUCGUGUUUACAUGUCAUAGUCUAUUAAAAGAAAGUAUCGGUAACGAUCACCUAGGUAAGGGAAUCACCCCUAACCCAUUGGUGAGGUCGUUGUAAGAUGAGAAAAAAAAGCGGAGUUAAUCGUCAAGGUAAGGAAAUCACUCCUAUCUCGACGAUAUGUCUCCACUUGUUGUUACAAAAGAAAAAUGUAAAUAAAAUUACGAGAAAUUAUGCAUGCUAGUGAUGUAUAACCAUAUGAAAGUAAUAGUAUGAUGUAUGCGUAAAAGUGAAAUCUCAAAACGGUUCAAAAUUGACAAGAAAGAGUUUCAUCAUAAAAGAUCGAGAAUAAUAAAGCGUAAGUUUGAUAAAAAGGAAACUUGGAUGGUUCCAAGAUGGAAUGUUGACUAACCAAAGUGGCCGAAAGGUCCUUUGAAAUUGAAAACAUGCUUUGGCCUAAUAGGUGAAAUACUCUCGCCGACAAGUCGGUUAACGGUAUUCACCCUUCCGGUUACUACAUGCCCCAAUUCAAUUGAAAAUUCGAGACUUGGCGAGAUUUAUAAAAAUCAAGGAGUGGGACUAGUCGACGAGGUGCGGGUUUCACCCCUAACUUGACGACUUCGUGCCCUAGGUGUGGUUGGUACUCGUCGGGUCAAAUUAAAUUUUGAGACGUUGACGAGGGUCCACUAGAAUUUAAAUUUGGAAUUUCCAUUAAGAUGUGGAUUUCACUCCUAACUUAAUGGUGAAUUUCAUGUAAAAAUAGAAUCGAGCGAGAUAAGAGUCGUUUACCAAAUUGUGGGUUUUACGCCUACUUUGGUAAACUCGUCCCGUUUGUGUAAUAUGAGUGUUUUCGAGUUUAAGAAAAAUCGACUAAAAUGCUUUAGAAAAGGGGAGUAUGUUAAAGGAAUACGCAAACAAGUAUAAACACAUAAGAAUGCACAUCAAGAACGGUACAUAAAGAAUAGGAUAAUAAAACAAGUACCAACACAUAGAGAUAUAUGCACAGAAUACGCAUAAAGAAUCGAACAAUGGAACAAGUAUUAUGACAUAAUAAAACAAGUAUAGCAGGUCAAGUGUUAACACAUAAGUGACAUAUAUGUUUGAAUGAUGAAAAAAGAGAACAAAUAAAGGCAAAUAAGAUAGCAUGCAAGUAGUUUCAAGCAAAACAUGAGAAUAAAGCUCUAAAACUAUAGACUAGGUUAAAGCAUUCCUACUUUUCCUAAUUCCCUAUAGUUAUGGCUCUGAUACCAAUCUGUCACACCCCAACCGAUGGCGGAAACAUCGGGAUGAGACGAAGUGUGUAUAGAUUGCUAGAGACUUCAUAACACUAUGUGACAAUAUUUAAUUAAAUUCAAAUUUCUUUGCAAUUGCUAGAUUGUCAUACAAUAAUCAAAACAAAAAAGACAACAUUGUUUCAACAAAUAACAUAACAUUAAAAGAUAAAUAGAUUAAAGGUGUGUAUCUAGUCCACCCUAAACUUGUUUCAUCAAUCAUCCAUACUUCAUUAGUCAACCUGCAACAUGUAUUAAAAUAGAGUUUCAAUGCAAAGGCAGUGAGCGAGUAUACAAGUUUGUUUACAUAGCAUAAUAGAAUAAAAACUCAUAUCCAACAUGAACAUAAUACAAUAGUUUCAGCCGUGCUAGUUUACGCAGUCCAAGUGAUAGCCCAAGUUUCCAAUGCGUUAAAGUACCUAACCCAAAGUUUCACGGGAGGUUAAUAUGUCUCCUUCUAACAAUACCCCUCGACUACAAAUGGGGGAGGUGCAUUACCCCUAUAGCGCUACUAUUGUUAAGGCGGAACUACACACAGGGAUUAAACGUUCACAUAGCACAAAAUAGUCUCAAGUAUCACAAGUUUCAUGUUUCAUGUUUAAAUGGAUAGAGCAUGUUUCAAAUAAGUUUCAAGUGUCACGUGUUUGAAUAUAGAAUACAUGUUGCAUCCCAAAAGUGUUUAAAGCAAAAAGGGAUCAAGUAUACUCACAUUGGUUGCGUAUAGAGAUUCCUUGAAAUAAUGCACGAGUAGAGAUGGAGAAAAAUCCAAGAGAACGUACAAAACGGUUAUCCUAGACAAGGUUUGGAAAAGUACUAAAUAAAUGGAAUUGAUAAUAGACUUGGUUAUAUUUUGUGUUUGUACAUUUUAUUUAGUUGUAACAAAUCUAAAAUAUAAUUGCUCUUGAUCUAUUGAAAAUAACUAGAAUAAGAUGUUUUAUUACUUGUUUCAAUUUAAUUAUAAGCGUUCAAAUAACUGUUGUAACCAUUUAAGUGGUUUCAAAAAAAAAGUGCUUCAGUUAACUAGUAUUUCAAUAUGCUAGUGUAUAUAUAUAAAACAAAAUAUACUAUAAAAAUGUAUCAGACCCGCAAACAGGUCGGUUCGAACCCAGGUCUCCCGGUUUAAGAUGUAGCAUCACACCCGUACCAAUAUGGCAAAUAAUUUAUCUAAAUAACUUAAACAGAAAAAGAAUAUACAUAUAUAUAUCGAUUUAUACUUAAACUGAUUAAUGUAAUAUUAUAAAUAGGUAUUAAUUUUUUUUUGUUCUAAUAUUGCAUUACAGAAACUAUCAACUACAAGUUUAUUUAAUUUAAACAAGACUUGAUUUUGCCUCUUGAAUAUCCCACCGAACAGUAACCAUCACCUACCAUUUAUGUAAGGUUUUUAUUUUCUUUGGAAGUCACCUUCUUCAUUAUAACAACAACGAACUUAUCCAACUUCCAAAUUUAAGAUGAUUAUUAAGGUGAUAUUAAAUAACAUUUCGCAAGAGAUUAAAGAGGAAACAAAGGAUAAAAAGAAUUAUACCGAAUGAUGAAAUAGAUCGA
RNAcentral lists this long non-coding RNA (3517 nucleotides) under Helianthus annuus (common sunflower). Its description in RNAcentral is "hypothetical non coding rna". The record is from RNAcentral. Lineage: Eukaryota; Viridiplantae; Streptophyta; Magnoliopsida; Asterales; Asteraceae.